AUUUGCAUUGUUAGGAUUGCAGAAAUCUCUUAGUAGAAAACUAAUGACAAAGAGAAAACGUAAAAAAUAAAUUAUUAGUUACACAGUCACCAGGCUAAAUUAAUGUAACCUGAAACAAACCACUUCUUGGUAGUCUCUGAUAUAUGACACGGGUGUGUUAUUUAUGCGUUUAUCAAUUGCUAAAUCGCCAUUAUUUUUAGUCUUUUGGGGUUUUGAAAUAAAUGGCUCUGAAUAAAAUGCUAAAUCAGUAGUAACGAUGCUUUAAUACCAGCUGUAGACAGAAGUGUAUGAAGUGAGCUACUAUCACUAGCUUGUAUAAAGUGCUACAUUUUGGGUCCAAAUAGUGCUGAAGCUCGGAAGCUUGACUCCAUUCGGGCCCAGUAGGUGUUGUGGUUACUCCGGCCCACCGCGCUGAUUAACUGUAGCUAGCAUACAAUGUGUCUGUGUUGCCCUCCUGCCUGAUAGAAAAAAAAAAAAUAACAAGCAGGAAAAAAAAAAAAAAAAAAAAACCUAAAGGGUAAAAAAAGCGAAAAAAAAACUCGGCCAUCCUCACAGACUUCCGGCUGUGGCGGAGAGGCGGCAGCACACAUUCAGGGAAAAUUACUAACGACGGCAGAGAGAACAGCGACGUUUACCGGUUCAGACGACUCCGACCUCCUGUCCGAAACUCCAAGCAACCCGAACAAUCUGGUCCCGAGCUAGCUGCUUCGUCUGAGCUUCACUUCCUCUCGAAAAGGUCGUCAGACAAAAGGAGUGUGUCUGUGUUGAUGUCAUGUCCGGUAUCUGAUGGAUACUUGAUUUAAAAAUGCAACAUGUUCUUCUUCAGUCGUCUCGAUCGCGGGAGUUUUAGUGCGACAAAGGUCCGUUUUGAAGCAAAUCAGCUCUUGAUUACUUUUAUUUUGUUGCAUUCAAAGAUCAGAUUCUGAUGUUAAGCUGAACGUGAUGCCUUCACGUUACCUUGGACGAAUCAGAGGUCACUAAAACCGAUCCCUACUGUCUUUAUGUGGAUGAAGUGAUUACACUACAAACAGAACAGUGGCAAAAAAAAAAGGUAGUUAUAAAAGAUUACACUGUAUUAGAAUAAAUAAAAAAAUUUCCUUGUAAAAUAAAUUAAAAUGAUUAAUGCUGUGUAAUUACAUGCCAGUCUAAUUUCUGAACACAAGACAUUACAACAGCGUAUUAGGGCCAUUUCAAAUGGAAAAAGAGGAGUACAUUUCCAACAAAACUCGCAGAAAUUUUCUAGAAAAAAACAGUUACAUUUCUUGGCUUGAAAAGUUGAAAAUUUGCUACAAAAAAAAAUCAUAAAUUUUGAGAUUAAUCUAAUAAAUUCAUAGUAAAAAGGAUUUCUGAGUUUCACAAGUCGAACAUUUUUUACUUUUCAAACUUAGAAAUUUCCAAGUUUUUCCUAGAAAUUUCAAUUCAAAAUUCCUGAGAUUUUCCUCACAAUUUUUUGACUUUCGCAGCUCAGAAAUGUAAUUGCAAUUUCGUCUAGAAUAUUUCUGAAAAUAAUCUGAGCAUUUCUGAGUCUUUCUGGCAAAUUUUUAACAUUCGGAGCUCAGAAAUGUCUGAAUGUUUUCUAGAAAAUUCCUGAGAUUAAUCUAGAAAUUUCAGAGUUUUUUUGGCAGAAAUGUACUUCCUUUUUCUAUCUACAAUGGCCCUAGAAUGCCACUGCAAGAUAUAAUCAUAUUUAACAAUAAAAUUGAAACUUAUUUUCAGAUUUCACCACAGUUGCACAUUUAUUUGUGUAUUUAUUCAUCAAGUGUAUUUUGACCAUUUCUGUGUUAUUGCUCUUGUUGUCUCUUUGCUAAGUUUCAAUUAAGAGAAUAAGUUUGAAGCACUGAAUGAAGAACAAAUAUAAGACUACGAAAAAAUUAACCAGACACAUCAGCAGUUUAUGUUUAAGUCAAACUUCUUGUUCGUACAGAAGCUUUGAUGUUUUAUUAUUUUCUGUCUGCUGCACCUUUUGUGCCAUUUUGUAAAGGGGAAACAAGAAAAUCACUGUACACCGCCACUGGAAGUACUUUAUUCUUCAUGAGUUAUACACACUGUUUACUGUGAGUAUUGGUCUAAUGAGCUUUAUGCUAAAUUUGGGAAAGUGUUUUCUUCUGUUAUUUAUUUGUAAUAUUUUUUUUAUUUCUAAAUAGAAACAUUUUCAUAUAAACAAAUAUUUUUGUCUUAUUAAAUCAGAUGGUAUGACCAAUUACUCAAUAUUUGAAUAGCCUUUUUUUUUUUUUUACCAAAUACUUUUUUACUCUUAAGUAAUUUUUCAGAUGCCUACAUUUUUACUUUUACCUUAAUAAAAAGUUGAAAUAGUGCUACUCUUACCUGAGUACAAUUGUUUAGGUACUCUACGCACCUCAUCUUAAGUGUAUUCUGAGUGACAAACAAGUAUCCAUGUAGACCUUAACAAGGAAGAAUUAAGAUUAGAUCUAAAUAUGCAUCAUUUCCAACUUCCAAAAUAAAAGAAAUGCAAUUUAAAAUUACAAACAAAUUUUAUCCAAGUCUUUCUGAGGUCCAAAUGGUUAUGUAUAAGCAUGUAUUCUGUGAGGAAGUAACAGGAUUUCGAGCAUCUGUCUUUGCAGGAUCCUUAUAAGCUUAUCUGGGUUCAUGGGGCACAAUUAACAAAUAUAAACAUCCAAGAGGUAAAAAUUAAUGACCAUAAAAGUGAUCACAGUGUAAAUAAUGUUCUCUUAUUGGCCAAAUAUUGCACAAAUCUUGCUUCUUUGAAGCAGUGGAAGAAUGAGUUAAAUUUGAGAAGUCAAAAAUGCUUUUAAGUUCAAUAAAUCCAUCAAACACAUUUAUUUAUAGCACACUUCAGCAACAAGGCAGUUCAAAGUGCUUUUCAUCAUAAAAACCAUAACAUUUUAUAAUCUUCAAAAAGGUUGAACUCUUUAAAAAAAA
Poecilia reticulata (guppy) is the source of this 2901-nucleotide non-coding RNA. The record is from RefSeq and is a predicted model, not a curated record. NCBI's taxonomy places the organism in Eukaryota, Metazoa, Chordata, Actinopteri, Cyprinodontiformes, Poeciliidae.